This 92-nucleotide small nucleolar RNA is filed under the name Varanus komodoensis (Komodo dragon). RNAcentral's name for it is "Small nucleolar RNA SNORD14 (ENSVKKG00000011796.1)". It matches the Rfam family "Small nucleolar RNA SNORD14". Rfam says of the family: U14 small nucleolar RNA (U14 snoRNA) is required for early cleavages of eukaryotic precursor rRNAs. Lineage: Eukaryota; Metazoa; Chordata; Lepidosauria; Squamata; Varanidae. The record is from Rfam by way of RNAcentral.
UCACUGUGAUGACUGAGUUCCAACCAUUCGUAGUUUCCACCAGAAAGGUUUUUCCUUCAUGUUGGCUAGCCCUUCCUUGGAUGUCUGAGUGA